RNAcentral lists this microRNA precursor (109 nucleotides) under Caenorhabditis sp. 23 AD-2012. Its description in RNAcentral is "mir-49". The stretch from base 18 to 91 matches the Rfam family "mir-49 microRNA precursor family". Lineage: Eukaryota; Metazoa; Nematoda; Chromadorea; Rhabditida; Rhabditidae. The record is from RNAcentral.
GUAAGUUUAGAACAAUCCACCGUCCGCAGUUUCUUAUGAUGUGCUCCGAGCCUACAUGUGUUCGAAGCACCACGAGAAGCUGCAGAUGGACGAUUUUGUUCCUUUUUCC